UACGAUAAGUUGGUGUGAGUUGGUCCUGA
Molecule: non-coding RNA, 29 nt
Filed under: Mus musculus (house mouse)
Lineage: Eukaryota; Metazoa; Chordata; Mammalia; Rodentia; Muridae
Source: RNAcentral